GGCCUGGCCGAUGUUCCCGUGCAGGCCUGACGUCGACGAGACGUUGAUGAUCGAGCGGUUUUCGGUAUUGCCCUUGAUGCGCAUAUGAGGCGCAGCGGCGCGGACGAGUCGGAAUGGUGCACGGACGUGAACGCGAAUAAUGAUGUCCCAGGCGUCAUCGGGCGUGGUGUGCAGCAUGCGGUCGUACGUGAAGCCCGCGUUGUUCACGAUGUGGUUGAUCUUGCCGAACUUCUGGAUGGUGG
This 242-nucleotide unclassified non-coding RNA is filed under the name Hevea brasiliensis (rubber tree). Lineage: Eukaryota; Viridiplantae; Streptophyta; Magnoliopsida; Malpighiales; Euphorbiaceae. The record is from RNAcentral.